This 504-nucleotide ribosomal RNA is filed under the name uncultured Flavobacterium sp. RNAcentral's name for it is "bacterial SSU rRNA". It matches the Rfam family "Bacterial small subunit ribosomal RNA", at positions 9 to 511 of the family's 1533-position model. Lineage: Bacteria; Pseudomonadati; Bacteroidota; Flavobacteriia; Flavobacteriales; Flavobacteriaceae. The record is from RNAcentral.
GAGUUUGAUCCUGGCUCAGGAUGAACGCUAGCGGCAGGCCUAAUACAUGCAAGUCGAGGGGCAGCACGGUAGCAAUACUGGUGGCGACCGGCGCACGGGUGCGUAACACGUAUACAAUCUGCCUUUAACAGGGGGAUAGCCCGGAGAAAUCCGGAUUAAUACCCCAUAACAAUGAGAAUGGCAUCAUUCUUAUUUAAAAGUUCCGACGGUUAAAGAUGAGUAUGCGUCUGAUUAGCUAGUUGGUAGUGUAACGGACUACCAAGGCGACGAUCAGUAGGGGAUCUGAGAGGAGUACCCCCCACACGGAUACUGAGACACGGAUCCGACUCCUACGGGAGGCAGCAGUAAGGAAUAUUGGACAAUGCCCGCAAGGGUGAUCCAGCCAUGCCGCGUGCAGGAAGACGGCCCUAUGGGUUGUAAACUGCUUUUGUACCGGAGAAAACCUCCCCUCGUGAGGGGAGCUGAUAGUAUGGUAAGAAUAAGCAUCGGCUAACUUCGUGCCAG